GUUAGUCUGUUUCUGCGUUUACUUCUAAGUUAGUCCCAAUUAUGGAGUACAUAUCUCAUACAUAUCUUAUAUAUACGAAAAGUGAUAUCUGAUCUCAUCUCAUGUAUGUUGUGUUUCUUACACCAUUAUGAAUACUAUCUGGCCUUUACAGGUUCGUCCUGUAGUGAAAGAAGUACUAGACACAUUUUGGGUAGGUGCUUAGCUAGGAACCAAAUAAAAACUGAAAGACCCUCGGCAAUUUUUGUCGCUAGGCAUGCUUAAAUAACCAUAGCUUUCUGCUUUCCACAUUUCACAAAUUAAGUAAAAGUGGAGGAACAAGUCGAAUUUUUAUGAUAGAAACAAUGGGAAGAUGGCAAGGAACAUUUUGCAUUGGCAAAUAUUAUUACAGGGAGGCACUAUUCGAACACAGCAGAUUUUCUCAUUCAGGCUAGUCUACGUCAGCUUCUCGGAAUCCUUUUUCUCUACGAUUUUGAUGAAAUUGCGGACAAUUGUCUUGCCCUCAGUUGUUAUAAUACUCUCCGGAUGAAAUUGAACUCCCUGUGAACAAUGUUUACAAGACUUCAAGAGUUCUGUUUUGAAUGGAGGGGGCAAUAAGAUUACAGUACACACUUGUGCGGGUUUUACCUGUAUAUGCUUGUACUUUCUGUGACGGGCAGCCAUAACCAGACCAUCUUCUGUCCAUGCUGUAACCUCGAGCUCAUCACUAGGAAAUGUAUCUUUUUCGAUCACGAGACUGUGAUAUCUACCUACAAUGAAAGGGCUGAAACCAACCAGAUUUGUUUUAUUACACAUUUUUACAGACUUAUGAUUAACUAUAUUAGACAACACACAAAAAAAAUUGAUUUUGAUUCAUACUUUGAUAAUCCAGAGAACAAGCCUUCUUCUCCUUUCUCAUCAUAGUGAACCAUUGAGCUUUUCCCAUGCAUAACACCAAAUGGUGACCGCACAAUCUUUCCUAAUCAAUGUUCAAACAAAAUUGCAUUUAAGCUGUGGAUGCAUAGAAUAAAGAACAAAACCAUGUUUGAACACUGAUACGGGAAAAUAAGAUGUCUUGUUUAUAUGCAACUAACCUCCAAAUGCUUCUCCUAUACACUGCAAACCCAUACAUACUCCAAAUAAAGGAACAAGUGGUCCGAGUUCCAAAACAGUUUGCAAGGAAAUCCCAGAGUCUUGAGGGGUACCUAUCAAAUUCAAGAAAAGUGUUAUCCACUUCUCCAGCAUAUAAUUAUAGGAGAAAUUUCAGAGGCCAAAAUAUUUACCAGGUCCAGGAGAAAUCAACACUCCUCUUGGAUUUUUUCUGCAAGAGGGAGAGAAUGAUAAAGGAAUGAACAUCAGUCGAUUAGCCAGAUUACGUUUUAAACAGAAUGCAUAUAGUUUCUUCUUACCUUUUCAGCUCUUCUACUGUAAGUUCAUCAUUGCGGUAAACUUCAAAAUGGCAUUGUAGCUCUCCCAUAUACUGUAGAAAUAGAUAGCAAUUCUCAAAAUUUUGUUUAUACUAAAGCAGAAGAAACCAUAUCAAGAGAACGAUCACAAUAAAUAGUAUGCACCUGACACUAUUCUGCGUGGAGAACUAGAAGUAAGACAUGAUCAAAUUGUAUAUUUGGUAUCUAUGUGCGUUAAGUCAGAUAUUCAGAGCAGCCAAAAUCUCAUGAGAAAGCGAGAUAUUUCAACUAGGAAUAACAAAUCUAAAGUCAAAAAUAGCAACUCAGGAAAUCGCCAAUUCAAACUUUGAACAUGAUUAAAGAUUCUACUUAAAAGACCAGACUUUAGGCAGCAAAGAAGUGAUGUGUUAGCUUUUGCUGGAUCAACAAUUACUCCUUACAACGACAAACAAGCAACGAGGAGCUUUCGACAAUAAGAUUCGAUGGCACGACAUAGCAACGACUCUGAUCACAUUAACAACAGAUGGUCAACAUUACAUAGUCUUAUCUAUUAGCAAGUCGAAAGUAGAUUGGAUUGUGAACUAAUGAGAUUCUAACAUUCAAUCACAAUGCAUAUACUUGAAUACAUUUCUAACAAAAUGCAAAUUCAGCUGCUUUCACAUCAAAAAUCUAACGAGCCUAGUAAGAUUUGAGAUUGUGUUAGAAAUGAAACCUGGCAGAGAUUGUAAGUGAAGCUGUCGUAAUUAUCAAUCACGAUGAUAGGACCAUUCUGUUUAGAGGAAUUGAUAACAACGGAAGGUAUCGAAUUCGAUUCUGCCAUUUCAAUAGAAGCUUCAGCAAAUGUACAUCUCUACGACUCUUCCCCAAAACUGAAAACUCCUAUAUCACAGAAGUAUAUUUGGGAUCUAAGUGAGAUAUUCAGAGCAGCCAACAAGGAAUAACCCAAUCUAACAAUAGCAACUCAGAAAAUCACCAAUUUUCAAACUUUAAACAAGAUAAAAGACUUAAAAGACCAGACUGUAGGCAGCUAAGAAGUAAUGUAUUAGCUAUUGCUGAAUCAAAAAUUACUCCUGGCAAGGACAAAGAAGCAAGGAGGAGCUUUUUCAAAUAUAUACAAAACCAAAAAAAAUUACUCAUCUAGAGAACUAGUCUUACGUGAAUAAGAUUCGAUGGUGCCGCAUAACGACUCAGUCUGAUCACAUAACAAGAGAGAAAUUACAUUACAUAGUCUUGUAUAUAAGCAAGUCGAGACUAGAUUGAUUGUGAAAUAAAGAGAUUCUAACAAUCAAUCGAGAUGCAUACUUGAAUACAAUUCAUAUGAAUCAAGGACUUGCAAUUAGCCAGGACCCUAAUUGAUUAAGACAUGGUUGACCAAAAAAACAAAA
This 2767-nucleotide small RNA is filed under the name Arabidopsis thaliana (thale cress). RNAcentral's name for it is "ATSL018020". Lineage: Eukaryota; Viridiplantae; Streptophyta; Magnoliopsida; Brassicales; Brassicaceae. The record is from RNAcentral.